UGGUUAAAUUACACUCAACGAUUUAAUUUUUUUUUUUGAAUAUUUUAUCGUUAUUUAUUUUUUAACCUAAAUUAAGUUAUCAUUCAAUUUUUUAUUUUCCAAAAAUAAAAAUUGUAUUGAUAUUUCUCUUCAUAUUCCCGGUAUUUUCAACGCCCAUAAUAGGGCAGCUUCUUGUUAAGUAGUGUUGAUUUUGCCGUAACAAAACGGAGAGGAACAAAUAUAAAUGAAAUAAAAAAUAUGUAAAAAUAAAUGAAUAUUAUAUGG
Molecule: small RNA, 264 nt
Organism: Plasmodium falciparum Tanzania (2000708)
Lineage: Eukaryota; Apicomplexa; Aconoidasida; Haemosporida; Plasmodiidae
Rfam family: Plasmodium RNA of unkown function RUF1
Source: Rfam